RNAcentral lists this ribosomal RNA (691 nucleotides) under uncultured Planktothrix sp. Its description in RNAcentral is "bacterial SSU rRNA". It matches the Rfam family "Bacterial small subunit ribosomal RNA", at positions 51 to 784 of the family's 1533-position model. The record is from RNAcentral. Lineage: Bacteria; Bacillati; Cyanobacteriota; Cyanophyceae; Oscillatoriales; Microcoleaceae.
ACACAUGCAAGUCGAACGGAAUCCUUAGGGAUUUAGUGGCGGACGGGUGAGUAACACGUAAGAACCUGCCUCUUGGACGGGGACAACAGUUGGAAACGGCUGCUAAUCCCGGAUAAGCCGAAAGGUAAAAGAUUUAUCGCCAAGAGAGGGGCUUGCGUCUGAUUAGCUAGUUGGUAGGGUAAGAGCCUACCAAGGCGACGAUCAGUAGCUGGUCUGAGAGGAUGAUCAGCCACACUGGGACUGAGACACGGCCCAGACUCCUACGGGAGGCAGCAGUGGGGAAUUUUCCGCAAUGGGCGAAAGCCUGACGGAGCAAGACCGCGUGGGGGAGGAAGGUUCUUGGAUUGUCAACCCCUUUUCUCAGGGAAGAAGAAAGUGACGGUACCUGAGGAAUCAGCAUCGGCUAACUCCGUGCCAGCAGCCGCGGUAAUACGGAGGAUGCAAGCGUUAUCCGGAAUGAUUGGGCGUAAAGAGUCCGUAGGUGGCUGAUCAAGUCUGCUGUUAAAGAGCGAGGCUUAACUUCGUCAAAGCAGUGGAAACUGAAGAGCUAGAGUGUAGUAGGGGCAGAGGGAAUUCCUGGUGUAGCGGUGAAAUGCGUAGAGAUCAGGAAGAACACCGGUGGCGAAAGCGCUCUGCUGGGCUACAACUGACACUGAGGGACGAAAGCUAGGGGAGCGAAUGGGAUUAGAUA